Molecule: ribosomal RNA, 468 nt
Filed under: uncultured bacterium
Lineage: Bacteria
Description: partial 16S ribosomal RNA
Rfam family: Bacterial small subunit ribosomal RNA
Source: RNAcentral
GACGAACGCUGGCGGCGUGCUUAACACAUGCAAGUCGAACGGAAAGGCCCUGCUUUUGUGGGGUGCUCGAGUGGCGAACGGGUGAGUAACACGUGAGUAACCUGCCCUUGACUUUGGGAUAACUUCAGGAAACUGGGGCUAAUACCGGAUAGGAGCUCCUGCUGCAUGGUGGGGGUUGGAAAGUUUCGGCGGUUGGGGAUGGUCUCGCGGCUUAUCAGCUUGUUGGUGGGGUAGUGGCUUACCAAGGUUUUGACGGGUAGCCGGCCUGGGAGGGUGACCGGCCACAUUGGGACUGAGAGACGGCCCAGACUCCUACGGUAGGCAGCAGUGGGGAAUAUUGCACAAUGGGCGGAAGCCUGAUGCAGCAGCGCCGCGUGCGGGAUGACGGCCUUCGGGUUGUAAACCGCUUUCGCCUGUGACGAAGCGUGAGUGACGGUAAUGGGUAAAGAAGCACCGGCUAACUACGUG